UGGGGAAUCUUAGGCAAUGGGGGAAACCCUGAUCUAGCCAUGCCGCGUGAGUGACGAAGGCCCUAGGGUCGUAAAGCUCUUUCGCCAGGGAAGAUAAUGACGGUACCUGGUAAAGAAGUCCCGGCUAACUCCGUGCCAGCAGCCGCGGUAAUACGGAGGAUGCAAGCGUUAUCCGGAAUGAUUGGGCGUAAAGCGUCCGCAGGUGGUGAUGCAAGUCUGCUGUUAAAGAGUGUAGCUUAACUACAUAAAGGCGGUGGAAACUGCACCACUAGAGUACGUUCGGGGCAGAGGGAAUUCCUGGUGUAGCGGUGAAAUGCGUAGAUAUCAGGAAGAACACCGGUGGCGAAAGCGCUCUGCUGGGCCGUAACUGACACUGGGGGACGAAAGCUAGGGGAGCGAAUGGGAUUAGAUACCCCCGUAGUCC
RNAcentral lists this ribosomal RNA (424 nucleotides) under uncultured prokaryote. Its description in RNAcentral is "bacterial SSU rRNA". It matches the Rfam family "Bacterial small subunit ribosomal RNA", at positions 355 to 796 of the family's 1533-position model. The record is from RNAcentral.